UAGGGAAUCCUCGGCAAUGGACGAAAGUCUGACCGAGCAACGCCGCGUGAGUGAAGAAGGUUUUCGGAUCGUAAAACUCUGUUGUUAGAGAAGAACAAGGGUGAGAGUAACUGUUCACCCCUUGACGGUAUCUAACCAGAAAGCCACGGCUAACUACGUGCCAG
RNAcentral lists this ribosomal RNA (164 nucleotides) under uncultured bacterium. Its description in RNAcentral is "partial 16S ribosomal RNA". It matches the Rfam family "Bacterial small subunit ribosomal RNA", at positions 355 to 511 of the family's 1533-position model. The record is from RNAcentral.